CCUACGGGUGGCUGCAGUGGGGAAUAUUGCACAAUGGGCGCAAGCCUGAUGCAGCCAUGCCGCGUGUGUGAAGAAGGCCUUCGGGUUGUAAAGCACUUUCAGCGGGGAGGAAGGCGGUGAGGUUAAUAACCUCAUCGAUUGACGUUACCCGCAGAAGAAGCACCGGCUAACUCCGUGCCAGCAGCCGCGGUAAUACGGAGGGUGCAAGCGUUAAUCGGAAUUACUGGGCGUAAAGCGCACGCAGGCGGUCUGUCAAGUCGGAUGUGAAAUCCCCGGGCUCAACCUGGGAACUGCAUUCGAAACUGGCAGGCUAGAGUCUUGUAGAGGGGGGUAGAAUUCCAGGUGUAGCGGUGAGAUGCGUAGAGAUCUGGAGGAAUACCGGUGGCGAAGGCGGCCCCCUGGACAAAGACUGACGCUCAGGUGCGAAAGCGUGGGGAGCAAACAGGAUUAGAUACCCCGGUAGUC
This 465-nucleotide ribosomal RNA is filed under the name uncultured Klebsiella sp. Its description in RNAcentral is "bacterial SSU rRNA". It matches the Rfam family "Bacterial small subunit ribosomal RNA", at positions 338 to 795 of the family's 1533-position model. The record is from RNAcentral. Lineage: Bacteria; Pseudomonadati; Pseudomonadota; Gammaproteobacteria; Enterobacterales; Enterobacteriaceae.